Molecule: small nucleolar RNA, 82 nt
Organism: Oryctolagus cuniculus (rabbit)
Lineage: Eukaryota; Metazoa; Chordata; Mammalia; Lagomorpha; Leporidae
Source: Ensembl
AGCCUGUGAUGAGGCCUUUGAUUUCUGACACCUCGUAUGAGAACUGCACGCGCAGUCUGAUUACCUCGCGGAGCUGAGGCUC